UUGUUAAAACUUUCCAGCUAACCACGCCUGUCUCCCGCUCUUCUUUCUUAACAAGUACCGAUUUUCGCAAUUUUCCCUUCUUCUCAUAGUUCGUAUCAUUUGGUAACUCUAUAAUUGCCUCAUUAUUCAAAGGUAAGACAUCAGUCUUGUUGUCAUGACUAUCUCUAUCUUUGUUUUUUUCUACUUCUUGUUCCAUUUUUCCUGCAUUUUCCAUUAGUUUCUGAAAUAGAGGCCCGCAUUUUGACAACUCCUCAAACGUUCCUUGCUCCUUAAUCAUGCCUUCACCAACAAGAAUAAUUCUGUCCACCUGAGGGAGAAAAUGAAGCUGGUUGGUGACAAGAACCCUGGUUUUUCCAUGCAGCCCUUCCUUUAUACAGUUCUUGAAAACCUAUAAGGACGUUGCAAAUCAGAUUAUAUGAACUAUGAUCAUCGAUACUUUCAAAAUAUUUAAAUAAUCAACAAUUAAUAGUGACAUCAACAAUUCCAAUAUUUUAUACUGCAGGAGAAAGAAAAGCCUGAUAAAGUACACGAGCUGGCUAUGAGAAUCACUUUGAUUUAACUCUUGCUCAUUUGAUAUGGACAAUUUACAUCAAUGAAGGUUAUAAAAUAUAUGGAAACAACCUUUGAAAUUAAACGUAAGUACAUUAGUCUCGAAAGAUGGUGGGGAUGGUGGGGUUCUACUUUGGACCCCCUUGGUAUGUGGUCCACAGGGGACUAGUAGUUAAAAAUCACUCAAAACUCUAAAGGCGAUCAAUGACGAUAGUAGAAGUUCACGGUCCUCCGAUGAGAUGGUAACUUGAUCGGUGUCAGUUCAACAAAAACAAGGAAAAAAGAAUGAGUUGAGUUUUGAGGCAUACAAAUUCGCUUUUCCUUUUUUUUUUUUGAUAAAUCGUCACCGAUCAAAUUAUUGUCUCAACCAUGAAGAUGAAAUCACUGUAAACGCCUACUUCCAAAAGGAGACUUAUAAUGUUGUUGAAGUUUCGAAUGAUUUGCAUGUGCUGGUCUACACUGAACCACUUGUCACAUGACAUUUAGCUUACAAAUGGUAGUUAUAUCAUAAAAAGGAUAUGUGUUUUAGAGCUUGAUAAGAAUAAUACCUCUUGAGCAAUAUGAGCAUCAAGAGCACUUAAAGGAUCAUCAAAUAUAUAUACAUCUGAAUUUGAGUAUACAGCCCUAGCUAAAGAAACUCUUUGCUUUUGUCCACCACUAAUAUUCACUCCUCUUUCUCCGAUCUCCGUAAAAUCACGUCCCUGAAAAGAUAUAAAUGAGAUAAAUAAAUAAUAAAAAAACUUUUGUAUUAAUUCUGAAAAACUAUAGAGAAGAUGAAAUUUUAAAAACAAUCUUACAGGAGGUAAAAAACUUUCAUUUUGUUUUUUAGGGAAAAUUGUAAUAAGGUCAUGGCAAUCUUACCUUGUUAAAACUUUCCAGCUAACCACGCCUGUCUCCCGCUCUUCUUUCUUAACAAGUACCGAUUUUCGCAAUUUUCCCUUCUUCUCAUAGUUCGUAUCAUUUGGUAACUCUAUAAUUGCCUCAUUAUUCAAAGGUAAGACAUCAGUCUUGUUGUCAUGACUAUCUCUAUCUUUGUUUUUUUCUACUUCUUGUUCCAUUUUUCCUGCAUUUUCCAUUAGUUUCUGAAAUAGAGGCCCGCAUUUUGACAACUCCUCAAACGUUCCUUGCUCCUUAAUCAUGCCUUCACCAACAAGAAUAAUUCUGUCCACCUGAGGGAGAAAAUGAAGCUGGUUG
RNAcentral lists this long non-coding RNA (1743 nucleotides) under Cicer arietinum (chickpea). RNAcentral's name for it is "long non-coding RNA (CARI_LNC001421)". Lineage: Eukaryota; Viridiplantae; Streptophyta; Magnoliopsida; Fabales; Fabaceae. The record is from RNAcentral.